Molecule: ribosomal RNA, 203 nt
Filed under: Escherichia coli
Lineage: Bacteria; Pseudomonadati; Pseudomonadota; Gammaproteobacteria; Enterobacterales; Enterobacteriaceae
Description: partial 23S ribosomal RNA
Rfam family: Bacterial large subunit ribosomal RNA
Source: RNAcentral
CCCGAGGAAAAGAAAUCAACCGAGAUUCCCCCAGUAGCGGCGAGCGAACGGGGAGGAGCCCAGAGCCUGAAUCAGUGUGUGUGUUAGUGGAAGCGUCUGGAAAGGCGCGCGAUACAGGGUGACAGCCCCGUACACAAAAAUGCACAUACUGUGAGCUCGAUGAGUAGGGCGGGACACGUGGUAUCCUGUCUGAAUAUGGGGGG